Molecule: ribosomal RNA, 417 nt
Filed under: uncultured bacterium
Lineage: Bacteria
Description: bacterial SSU rRNA
Rfam family: Bacterial small subunit ribosomal RNA
Source: RNAcentral
GGAUGAAGGCCUUCGGGUUGUAAACUGCUUUUGUACGGAACGAAAAGCUUCGGGUUAAUACCCUGGAGCCAUGACGGUACCGUAAGAAUAAGCACCGGCUAACUACGUGCCAGCAGCCGCGGUAAUACGUAGGGUGCAAGCGUUAAUCGGAAUUACUGGGCGUAAAGCGUGCGCAGGCGGUUUUGUAAGACAGAGGUGAAAUCCCCGGGCUCAACCUGGGAACUGCCUUUGUGACUGCAAGGCUAGAGUACGGCAGAGGGGGAUGGAAUUCCGCGUGUAGCAGUGAAAUGCGUAGAUAUGCGGAGGAACACCGAUGGCGAAGGCAAUCCCCUGGGCCUGUACUGACGCUCAUGCACGAAAGCGUGGGGAGCAAACAAGAUUAGAUACCCUGGUAGUCCACGCCCUAAACGAUGUCAA